Molecule: long non-coding RNA, 3071 nt
Organism: Nelumbo nucifera (sacred lotus)
Lineage: Eukaryota; Viridiplantae; Streptophyta; Magnoliopsida; Proteales; Nelumbonaceae
Source: RefSeq, a predicted model, not a curated record
UGACUUGUUAUUCCAGCGUCUUUAAAGUCUUAACCAUCGACUUCGAAAUCGUUUCAUCUAGGGUUCCAUGCCGUCCCCCAACACCCUCAGACGGAGACAACUAAUUGGCCCAAACUACCAUGGCCGACGAAGAUUGCCAAUUCGGUGAACGUGAUUGUUUCCGUCGCAAUGCCGGUUCAGGUGUCUCCCGAUAGAAAAAACUGCGCUGCUACUGUAACCAUACCGGAGAAAGCGUUGGAUCUUCCUUUUUCUCUGGUAGAGUCAUGGCUCUAUCUCUGAGUCAACAGCAGGUACCCUUCAAUGGUGUCUUGUCUGCCGCUUGGAUCCAAGAUAACUUCCAAUUGAAGAUUGCUUGAAAUUUAUCGUUGUUUCCUGCCACAAUAAUUGGCUGCAUAUAUGAAUAUUUUUCUCUUUCUUCAUCUUUCUUAUUGUUCUAAUAUUCAGGUUUUUUGUUUGAUUUUAUUUUUUUUUAAAGAUCAAAGAUUUUCCACCCCAUUAUGCUAGUAUUGUUCUAUGAUUCAAGACUAGGGUUAUACGCUGUUUGUUAUGCUUAACGAUUUAGCAGCGAAUUUCCUUUAUUUCCCCCUUUUGGCCAUUCGAUGUAAUUUCAUGAUUUUUUUAUGCUUUCUAAAUCCAUAUUAUAUUAUGGUCCAAUUUCUCUCAACCUGAACUGCAGAGAUUUGCUUCUGCCUUUAUCAGUGGGAUCUAGCACAAGCCUUAAGAUAUCCAUCUGAUAUGAAAAAUCCACCCAUUUGCAAUGUUGAGGAUGUGUGGUUAUGAUAGUCUACCAUAAAACGUGUAGUUACAAAGAGUUAUUUGGGACCAAAGCACAGCAUUAGUGGGUUAGUUGGUUGGCUCUAGUUCAGACACAGGUGCUUUGUUGAUCAAUAACAAGCCACCUUUUGCAUAGUGCCUAGACAGAAGCCUGCUUAUCACGAUUGAAGUUAUUCUUGCCCGAUGGUUUCCUUCAAAUUUAAAGCAGCAACAUUUCUUAUUAUCUUUCUUAUGGCCUAUUUUUUGGCUAUUGCCUGUCUUCCUUUGUUUCCUGAUACAAUGUAUGCCUGAAGCUAGUGUUUUGGAACGUUACAUGUUGAUGGGAAUGGAUCCACCUUUUUAGUAUGCUCGAUGUUCUAGCUGGUAUCCAUCUAAUGCAUGUUAUUAGAAGUAGUACUCAAUCUGUUAGAUGGGUCUGCCCCCUAAGAUUUGUAAAAUUUCUCUGAUCUAAAAAUUGUGCUCUCUCUGGUUGGGUUAAACUUGCCAGAAGUAUCUCUUUAGAAAUUAGUCGCUAUUUUAUUUUGUAGAUAAAUGAGUUUCUUUUUGCAAUUGUUUCUGGACUUUGAGAAGAUCUUAAUGAGUCUUGUAACGUGAUGGCUCUAUCUCUGAGCCAACAGCAGAUUUUCCUCUUUCUUCCUCUUUCUUAUUUUUCUAAACCUCAGAUUGUUUUGUUUGAUUUUGUUUCUUUAAAGAUUAAAGAUUUCCACCCCACUAUGCUAAUAUUGUUUUAUGAUUUGAGACUAGGGUUAUAGGUUGUUUGGUAUGCUUAAUCAUUUAGCAGCACUUCCCUUCAUUUCCCUUUUAUGGCCAUCCUAUGUAAUUUCAUGAUUUUUCUACACUUUCUUAAUCUAUAUUAUGGUCACAUUUCUCUCGACCUGAACUGAAGUUUUGCUUCUGCUAUUAACAGUGGGAUCUAGCCCAAACCUUGAGAGUAUCCAUCUGAUGAUGAUUCCACCCAUUUGCAAUGUUGUGGAUGUGUGGUUAUUUAUGAUGGUAUACUAUAAAACGUGUAGUUGCAAAGAGUUAUUUGGGACCAAACCACAGCAUUAGUUGGUUGUUUGGUUGGCUCUAGUUCAGACACGGGUGCUUUGUUGAUUAAUAACAAGCCACCUUUUGCAUAGUGCCUAGACAGAAGCCUGCUUUACAUAUUGGGGGUUAUUCCUGCUUGGUGACUUCCUUCAAAUUUUAAAGCAGCAAAAUUUAUAGUUAUCUUUGUAUGGGCUUUUAGCUUAUUGCUUGUCAUCUUUUAUUUCGUGAUACAAUAUGUUGCUGAAGCUAGUGUUUGGUGACACUACUUUGAUGGUUAUGGAUUCACCAUUUUAGUGUGGCCGAUGUUCUGGAUGGGACCCAUCUAAUGCAUGUUCUUAGAAGUAGAAUCUCUUAGUUCGAUCUGGGCCCCCAUGGGUUAAACUAGCUAAAUCCAAUCCCUGUAGAAAAGGCAACCAAAAAAUUGGAAAUUUUAUAGUUCCUCCUCCAAAAGCAUGAAGUAUAUCCCAGGAAAGUGGUUUGCGCAUUUUAUUUUGUAGAUAAAUAAAUUUCUUUGGUGCAAUUGAUUUUGAAUUUUGAGAACUUACUGGGUCUUGUGAUUGAGGAGGCAUGGCUCUAUUUCUGAGUCAACAGCAGGUGCCAUUUUGAUGGUAUCCCGUCUGCCGCUUGGAGCCGAGAUUGACAUGCCAGUGGAAGAUUGCUUGAAACUCAUAGUUGUUUCCUGCCACAAUAACUGGCUAUAUAUGUAGACAAAUAAAUUUCUUUUGUGCAAUUGAUUUUGGAUUUUGAGAACUCACUGAGUCUUGUGAGUCAUGUCAUGGCUCUAUUUCUGAGUCAACAGCAGGUGCCAUUUGAUAGUUAUAUCCUGUCUGCCGCUUGGAACCGAGAUUGACAUGCCUGUGGAAGAUUGCUUGAAACUCAUAGUUGUUUCCUGCCACAGUAACUGGCUAUAUAUGUAGAUAAAUAAAUUUCUUUUGUGCAAUUGAUUUUGGAUUUUGAGAACUUUACUGGGGUCUUGAGAUGAGUCAAUGUCAUGGCUCUCUAUUUCUGAGUCAACAGCAGGUGUCAUUUGAUGGUUAUCCUGUCUGCCGCUUGGAGCCGAGAGUGACUUGCCAGUGGAAGAUUGCUUGAAACUCAUAGUUGUUUCCUGCCACAAUAAUUGGCUAUAUAUGUAUAUUUUCUUCUUUCUUUCUUUUUGAUUUUCUAACUCGGGCAGAUCUUUUUGUUUGUCUUAAUUUUUUUGAAACAUCAAAGCUUUUGCACUCCAUUACGCUAAUAUUGAUCUAUGAUUUGUGACUGCGUUCCCUUCA